RNAcentral lists this ribosomal RNA (2926 nucleotides) under Escherichia coli. Its description in RNAcentral is "23S ribosomal RNA". It matches the Rfam family "Bacterial large subunit ribosomal RNA". Lineage: Bacteria; Pseudomonadati; Pseudomonadota; Gammaproteobacteria; Enterobacterales; Enterobacteriaceae. The record is from RNAcentral.
GGGUUGUGAGGUUAAGCGACUAAGCGUACACGGUGGAUGCCCUGGCAGUCAGAGGCGAUGAAGGACGUGCUAAUCUGCGAUAAGCGUCGGUAAGGUGAUAUGAACCGUUAUAACCGGCGAUUUCCGAAUGGGGAAACCCAGUGUGAUUCGUCACACUAUCAUUAACUGAAUCCAUAGGUUAAUGAGGCGAACCGGGGGAACUGAAACAUCUAAGUACCCCGAGGAAAAGAAAUCAACCGAGAUUCCCCCAGUAGCGGCGAGCGAACGGGGAGCAGCCCAGAGCCUGAAUCAGUGUGUGUGUUAGUGGAAGCGUCUGGAAAGGCGCGCGAUACAGGGUGACAGCCCCGUACACAAAAAUGCACAUGCUGUGAGCUCGAUGAGUAGGGCGGGACACGUGGUAUCCUGUCUGAAUAUGGGGGGACCAUCCUCCAAGGCUAAAUACUCCUGACUGACCGAUAGUGAACCAGUACCGUGAGGGAAAGGCGAAAAGAACCCCGGCGAGGGGAGUGAAAAAGAACCUGAAACCGUGUACGUACAAGCAGUGGGAGCACGCUUCGGCGUGUGACUGCGUACCUUUUGUAUAAUGGGUCAGCGACUUAUAUUCUGUAGCAAGGUUAACCGAAUAGGGGAGCCGAAGGGAAACCGAGUCUUAACUGGGCGUUAAGUUGCAGGGUAUAGACCCGAAACCCGGUGAUCUAGCCAUGGGCAGGUUGAAGGUUGGGUAACACUAACUGGAGGACCGAACCGACUAAUGUUGAAAAAUUAGCGGAUGACUUGUGGCUGGGGGUGAAAGGCCAAUCAAACCGGGAGAUAGCUGGUUCUCCCCGAAAGCUAUUUAGGUAGCGCCUCGUGAAUUCAUCUCCGGGGGUAGAGCACUGUUUCGGCAAGGGGGUCAUCCCGACUUACCAACCCGAUGCAAACUGCGAAUACCGGAGAAUGUUAUCACGGGAGACACACGGCGGGUGCUAACGUCCGUCGUGAAGAGGGAAACAACCCAGACCGCCAGCUAAGGUCCCAAAGUCAUGGUUAAGUGGGAAACGAUGUGGGAAGGCCCAGACAGCCAGGAUGUUGGCUUAGAAGCAGCCAUCAUUUAAAGAAAGCGUAAUAGCUCACUGGUCGAGUCGGCCUGCGCGGAAGAUGUAACGGGGCUAAACCAUGCACCGAAGCUGCGGCAGCGACACUAUGUGUUGUUGGGUAGGGGAGCGUUCUGUAAGCCUGUGAAGGUGGCCUGUGAGGGUUGCUGGAGGUAUCAGAAGUGCGAAUGCUGACAUAAGUAACGAUAAAGCGGGUGAAAAGCCCGCUCGCCGGAAGACCAAGGGUUCCUGUCCAACGUUAAUCGGGGCAGGGUGAGUCGACCCCUAAGGCGAGGCCGAAAGGCGUAGUCGAUGGGAAACAGGUUAAUAUUCCUGUACUUGGUGUUACUGCGAAGGGGGGACGGAGAAGGCUAUGUUGGCCGGGCGACGGUUGUCCCGGUUUAAGCGUGUAGGCUGGUUUUCCAGGCAAAUCCGGAAAAUCAAGGCUGAGGCGUGAUGACGAGGCACUACGGUGCUGAAGCAACAAAUGCCCUGCUUCCAGGAAAAGCCUCUAAGCAUCAGGUAACAUCAAAUCGUACCCCAAACCGACACAGGUGGUCAGGUAGAGAAUACCAAGGCGCUUGAGAGAACUCGGGUGAAGGAACUAGGCAAAAUGGUGCCGUAACUUCGGGAGAAGGCACGCUGAUAUGUAGGUGAAGCGACUUGCUCGUGGAGCUGAAAUCAGUCGAAGAUACCAGCUGGCUGCAACUGUUUAUUAAAAACACAGCACUGUGCAAACACGAAAGUGGACGUAUACGGUGUGACGCCUGCCCGGUGCCGGAAGGUUAAUUGAUGGGGUUAGCGGUAACGCGAAGCUCUUGAUCGAAGCCCCGGUAAACGGCGGCCGUAACUAUAACGGUCCUAAGGUAGCGAAAUUCCUUGUCGGGUAAGUUCCGACCUGCACGAAUGGCGUAAUGAUGGCCAGGCUGUCUCCACCCGAGACUCAGUGAAAUUGAACUCGCUGUGAAGAUGCAGUGUACCCGCGGCAAGACGGAAAGACCCCGUGAACCUUUACUAUAGCUUGACACUGAACAUUGAGCCUUGAUGUGUAGGAUAGGUGGGAGGCUUUGAAGUGUGGACGCCAGUCUGCAUGGAGCCGACCUUGAAAUACCACCCUUUAAUGUUUGAUGUUCUAACGUUGACCCGUGAUCCGGGUUGCGGACAGUGUCUGGUGGGUAGUUUGACUGGGGCGGUCUCCUCCUAAAGAGUAACGGAGGAGCACGAAGGUUGGCUAAUCCUGGUCGGACAUCAGGAGGUUAGUGCAAUGGCAUAAGCCAGCUUGACUGCGAGCGUGACGGCGCGAGCAGGUGCGAAAGCAGGUCAUAGUGAUCCGGUGGUUCUGAAUGGAAGGGCCAUCGCUCAACGGAUAAAAGGUACUCCGGGGAUAACAGGCUGAUACCGCCCAAGAGUUCAUAUCGACGGCGGUGUUUGGCACCUCGAUGUCGGCUCAUCACAUCCUGGGGCUGAAGUAGGUCCCAAGGGUAUGGCUGUUCGCCAUUUAAAGUGGUACGCGAGCUGGGUUUAGAACGUCGUGAGACAGUUCGGUCCCUAUCUGCCGUGGGCGCUGGAGAACUGAGGGGGGCUGCUCCUAGUACGAGAGGACCGGAGUGGACGCAUCACUGGUGUUCGGGUUGUCAUGCCAAUGGCACUGCCCGGUAGCUAAAUGCGGAAGAGAUAAGUGCUGAAAGCAUCUAAGCACGAAACUUGCCCCGAGAUGAGUUCUCCCUGACUCCUUGAGAGUCCUGAAGGAACGUUGAAGACGACGACGUUGAUAGGCCGGGUGUGUAAGCGCAGCGAUGCGUUGAGCUAACCGGUACUAAUGAACCGUGAGGCUUAACCUUACAACGCCGAAG